GUCGAACGCUGAAGCACUCUGCUUGCAGAGUGCGGAUGAGUGGCGAACGGGUGAGUAACACGUGGGAAAUCUGCCUAGGAGUGGGGGAUAACAUUCGGAAACGGAUGCUAAUACCGCAUAUCUUCAUAGACCGCAUGGUCUAUGAAUGAAAGACGGCUUUGCUGUCGCUCUUAGAUGAUCCCGCGGCGUAUUAGUUAGUUGGUGGGGUAAAGGCCUACCAAGACAAUGAUACGUAGCCGACCUGAGAGGGUGAUCGGCCACACUGGGACUGAGACACGGCCCAGACUCCUACGGGAGGCAGCAGUAGGGAAUCUUCCACAAUGGGUGCAAACCUGAUGGAGCAAUGCCGCGUGAAUGAAGAAGGUCUUCGGAUCGUAAAGUUCUGUUAUUAGUGAAGAACAAAUCGAGGAGUAACUGUCUCGAUUUUGACGGUAACUAACCAGAAAGUCACGGCUAACUACGUGCCAGUAGCCGCGGUAAUACGGAGGAUCCGAGCGUUAUCCGGAUUUAUUGGGUUUAAAGGGUGCGCAGGCGGAAUAUUAAGUCGGCGGUGAAAGUUUGCAGCUUAACUGUAAAAUUGCCGUUGAAACUGGUUUUCUUGAGUGUAUAUGAAGUAGGCGGAAUUUGUAGUGUAGCGGUGAAAUGCAUAGAUAUUACAAGGAACUCCGAUUGCGAAGGCAGCUUACUAAAAUACAACUGACGCUCAGGCACGAAGGCGUGGGUAUCAAACAGGAUUAGAUACCCUGGUAGUCCACGCAGUAAACGAUGAUUACU
Molecule: ribosomal RNA, 774 nt
Filed under: uncultured bacterium
Lineage: Bacteria
Description: bacterial SSU rRNA
Rfam family: Bacterial small subunit ribosomal RNA
Source: RNAcentral